This 372-nucleotide ribosomal RNA is filed under the name uncultured organism. Its description in RNAcentral is "bacterial SSU rRNA". It matches the Rfam family "Bacterial small subunit ribosomal RNA", at positions 526 to 896 of the family's 1533-position model. The record is from RNAcentral.
CAGAGGUGGCAAGCGUUGUUCGGAAUUACUGGGCGUAAAGGGCGCGUAGGCGGCCUUCUAAGUCAGACGUGAAAUCCCCAGGCUUAACUUGGGAACUGCGUCUGAUACUGGAGGGCUUGAGUGCGGGAGAGGGAUGUGGAAUUCCAGGUGUAGCGGUGAAAUGCGUAGAUAUCUGGAGGAACACCGGUGGCGAAGGCGGCAUCCUGGACCGACACUGACGCUGAGGCGCGAAAGCCAGGGGAGCAAACGGGAUUAGAUACCCCGGUAGUCCUGGCCCUAAACGAUGAGUGCUUGGUGUGGCGGGUAUCGAUCCCUGCCGUGCCGAAGCUAACGCAGUAAGCACUCCGCCUGGGGAGUACGGUCGCAAGGCUG